This 70-nucleotide transfer RNA is filed under the name Burkholderia multivorans. RNAcentral describes it as "tRNA-Ser". RNAcentral also lists the same sequence under 1 other name. Lineage: Bacteria; Pseudomonadati; Pseudomonadota; Betaproteobacteria; Burkholderiales; Burkholderiaceae. The record is from RNAcentral.
GCGAAGCGGGCGACGAAUUUCUGCCCUCCGAAGGCAGGGGUUGCUGGUUCGAUCCCAGCCGGGCGCGCCA